Molecule: non-coding RNA, 134 nt
Organism: Nicotiana tabacum (common tobacco)
Lineage: Eukaryota; Viridiplantae; Streptophyta; Magnoliopsida; Solanales; Solanaceae
Source: RefSeq, a predicted model, not a curated record
CAACUCAUCACAUGCGCAGGCUUCAUGCGAUGCUGCGACAGAUGACUACAUUCAGGAUCCAGACACGAUUAUGCCUUCUACUGGACCUGACAGCACCACCGAUACAUGUCAUCCUGUGCCGCAUCCGGCCAUAA